AACGUAGGGCGCAAGCGUUAUCCGGAAUUACUGGGCGUAAAGCGCGUGUAGGCGGGUGUGUAAGUCUGUGGUGAAAGCUCGCGGCUAAACUGGGGGAGGUCGAUGGAAACUGCAAGGCUGGAGGUUGGCAGAGGAAUGUGGAAUUGCGCGUGUAGUGGUGAAAUGCGUAGAGAUGCGGAGGAACACCAGUGGCGAAGGCGGCAUUCUGGGCCACAACUGACGCUGAGACGCGAAAGCAUGGGUAGCAAACGGG
RNAcentral lists this ribosomal RNA (253 nucleotides) under uncultured bacterium. RNAcentral's name for it is "partial 16S ribosomal RNA". It matches the Rfam family "Bacterial small subunit ribosomal RNA", at positions 524 to 776 of the family's 1533-position model. The record is from RNAcentral.